AGCAACUGCAGCCUCCAUGAAACUCUGGCUCUGAGAAAUCCUGGGAGAGACUGAGUGAGCAUGAGGCAGAAAUGUGAGUC
This 80-nucleotide small RNA is filed under the name Homo sapiens (human). RNAcentral's name for it is "nc008 non-coding RNA". Lineage: Eukaryota; Metazoa; Chordata; Mammalia; Primates; Hominidae. The record is from RNAcentral.